AAUAGAUACCCGGGUAGUCCACGCCGUAAACGAUGAGUGCUAAGUGUUAGAGGGUUUCCGCCCUUUAGUGCUGCAGCUAACGCAUUAAGCACUCCGCCUGGGGAGUACGGCCGCAAGGCUGAAACUCAAAGGAAUUGACGGGGGCCCGCACAAGCGGUGGAGCAUGUGGUUUAAUUCGAAGCAACGCGAAGAACCUUACCAGGUCUUGACAUCCUCUGCCAACCCUAGAGAUAGGGUGUUCCCCUUCGGGGGACAGAGUGACAGGUGGUGCAUGGUUGUCGUCAGCUCGUGUCGUGAGAUGUUGGGUUAAGUCCCGCAACGAGCGCAACCCUUGAUCUUAGUUGCCAGCAUUUAGUUGGGCACUCUAAGGUGACUGCCGGUGACAAACCGGAGGAAGGUGGGGAUGACGUCAAAUCAUCAUGCCCCUUAUGACCUGGGCUACACACGUGCUACAAUGGAUGGUACAAAGAGCUGCGAACCCGCGAGGGUAAGCCAAUCUCAUAAAGCCAUUCUCAGUUCGGA
RNAcentral lists this ribosomal RNA (522 nucleotides) under uncultured bacterium. Its description in RNAcentral is "bacterial SSU rRNA". It matches the Rfam family "Bacterial small subunit ribosomal RNA", at positions 777 to 1297 of the family's 1533-position model. The record is from RNAcentral.